Molecule: RNase P RNA, 331 nt
Filed under: Halorubrum saccharovorum
Lineage: Archaea; Methanobacteriati; Methanobacteriota; Halobacteria; Halobacteriales; Haloferacaceae
Description: Archaeal RNase P
Rfam family: Archaeal RNase P
About the family: Ribonuclease P (RNase P) is a ubiquitous endoribonuclease, found in archaea, bacteria and eukarya as well as chloroplasts and mitochondria. Its best characterised activity is the generation of mature 5'-ends of tRNAs by cleaving the 5'-leader elements of precursor-tRNAs. Cellular RNase Ps are ribonucleoproteins.
Source: Rfam by way of RNAcentral
GACAGAGGGAGCCCGACUCCCGUGCCUCUGGCAUGAGGAAAGUCCCCCCACCGGCCGGACAGGCGACCGGGCACACGCCCGGAGUCGGAGACGGCUGGCUCUGGAACAGCAACGACACCCCCCACCCCGACCCGUGAUUCGCGCGAACCGACCCGCAAGGAAGGGAGCUAACCCGAUGAGGCGCGUGGCUUUGCCACGUUACAGACGGGUGGGAACGGAUGGAACGGCGAAUCCUCGCCGGUGCAAGUCCGCGCCACAAGGUAGUCCGGCCACGGCGCGGACGCUCAGCCGAAUGUCGGGACGAACCGAAGGGGGCUUACUCCCCUCAGUC